RNAcentral lists this ribosomal RNA (253 nucleotides) under uncultured bacterium. RNAcentral's name for it is "partial 16S ribosomal RNA". It matches the Rfam family "Bacterial small subunit ribosomal RNA", at positions 524 to 776 of the family's 1533-position model. The record is from RNAcentral.
UACAGAGGUGGCAAGCGUUGUUCGGAAUUAUUGGGCGUAAAGGGCGCGUAGGCGGCUUUUCAAGUGACGGGUGAAAUCCCUCGGCUUAACCGAGGAACUGCCUGUCAGACUGGAAGGCUUGAGACCGGGAGAGGUGAGUGGAAUUCCCAGUGUAGCGGUGAAAUGCGUAGAUAUUGGGAGGAACACCAGUGGCGAAGGCGGCUCACUGGACCGGAGCUGACGCUGAGGCGCGAAAGCGUGGGGAGCAAACAGG